RNAcentral lists this unclassified non-coding RNA (296 nucleotides) under Hevea brasiliensis (rubber tree). Lineage: Eukaryota; Viridiplantae; Streptophyta; Magnoliopsida; Malpighiales; Euphorbiaceae. The record is from RNAcentral.
UUUCCCAAGCACUGGCGCUAUUAUAUCGCGAUCAAGUGGCUGUUGAUUGUUGCAGCCAUCGCGCUUGCGCUCAAACUCGUCAACGUCUGGUAAGACAAUGGGCCAAUCUAUUCCCAAAGUCGGCUUGCGGCCGUUUCUUCCCGAAGACACUCCGGUGCUCGCGGCGAUCUUCGUCGCCAGCAUCGAUGAGCUGGCCGAGGAGGAUUAUUCGGACGCGCAGCGUGAGGCCUGGGCGCGUGCCGCCGAGGAUGAAGACAAAUUCGGCAAGCGGCUUGCGGGCCAGUUGACGCUGGUGG